CAAUCGGAACGUGCCCAAUCGUGGGGGAGUAACGCAGCGAAAGCUGUGCUAAUACCGCAUACGAUCUACGGAUGAAAGCAGGGGAUCGCAAGACCUUGCGCGAAUGGAGCGGCCGAUGGCAGAUUAGGUAGUUGGUGAGGUAAAGGCUCACCAAGCCUUCGAUCUGUAGCUGGUCUGAGAGGACGACCAGCCACACUGGGACUGAGACACGGCCCAGACUCCUACGGGAGGCAGCAGCU
RNAcentral lists this ribosomal RNA (239 nucleotides) under uncultured Variovorax sp. RNAcentral's name for it is "partial 16S ribosomal RNA". It matches the Rfam family "Bacterial small subunit ribosomal RNA", at positions 115 to 355 of the family's 1533-position model. The record is from RNAcentral. Lineage: Bacteria; Pseudomonadati; Pseudomonadota; Betaproteobacteria; Burkholderiales; Comamonadaceae.